This 491-nucleotide ribosomal RNA is filed under the name Alteromonas sp. 2WN22. RNAcentral's name for it is "bacterial SSU rRNA". It matches the Rfam family "Bacterial small subunit ribosomal RNA", at positions 384 to 876 of the family's 1533-position model. The record is from RNAcentral. Lineage: Bacteria; Pseudomonadati; Pseudomonadota; Gammaproteobacteria; Alteromonadales; Alteromonadaceae.
UGAUGCAGCCAUGCCGCGUGUGUGAAGAAGGCCUUCGGGUUGUAAAGUCAGUUGUGAGGAAAAGUUAGUAGUUAAUACCUGCUAGCCGUGACGUUAACAACAGAAGAAGCACCGGCUAACUCCGUGCCAGCAGCCGCGGUAAUACGGAGGGUGCGAGCGUUAAUCGGAAUUACUGGGCGUAAAGCGCACGCAGGCGGUUUGUUAAGCUAGAUGUGAAAGCCCCGGGCUCAACCUGGGAUAGUCAUUUAGAACUGGCAGACUAGAGUCUUGGAGAGGGGAGUGGAAUUCCAGGUGUAGCGGUGAAAUGCGUAGAUAUCUGGAGGAACAUCAGUGGCGAAGGCGACUCCCUGGCCAAAGACUGACGCUCAUGUGCGAAAGUGUGGGUAGCGAACAGGAUUAGAUACCCUGGUAGUCCACACCGUAAACGCUGUCUACCUUUUGUGACUUUAAGUCGUGAGUAGCGAAGCUAACGCGCUAAGUAGACCGCCUGG